GGGGCUUGACCACAGCCCAAAGCCCAUGACGUAGAGGCCCACAUACCUGAUGUACAUAACAAGCCUGGCUCAUCCAACCCUCAAGGCCGGGCUCGACCCAUCCUCUUCACUCAGGCUUAGCGUCCAGCCCAACUUUCGGCCCAACCCAGGAUCCAGAAUAAUAUUCACCAGACAGCCUGGCAGAUCCGCUUGAACGUACACACGAGGGGAAUCAGAGGCCGUUACACAUGGAGCAGGCGGCUGAUACCCUAGUACCUCCGAAUCCGCAUGGCAG
This 274-nucleotide long non-coding RNA is filed under the name Manihot esculenta (cassava). Its description in RNAcentral is "long non-coding RNA (MESC_LNC009551)". The record is from RNAcentral. Lineage: Eukaryota; Viridiplantae; Streptophyta; Magnoliopsida; Malpighiales; Euphorbiaceae.